AAGAAAAUCACGAGGAAAAAACUCGAACACCCGAAAGGUCGUGAGCUAACUUAUCCUGCCAAAGAACUAACCCUCUACUGUUACAAUAGUAGAAAAAAAGGAAAAGUUAGAGGUAAAACGCCAAUCGCACCACCUGAUAACUGGUAUUCGGAAAAAGAAGUAUAAGCUACUUUUACCUAAAGAACAAGUCUAACGUUACAACAAACAAAGAUCAUUUUCCAGUAAAAAUAGAGGGCAGAAGACAAGUUCUACCCUCAAAAGGGAAACAACCCUCAGCGUAAGCAAAGUCAUCAAAAGAAGGGGGAAACAACCAAAGUAGGCCUAAAAGCUGCCAACCAGAGAGAAAGCGUUAAAGCUCUUAAAUCUAUUAUCCCAAGAAUCCUUGCUACCAAACCUACUCUUCGCUAUAGGUAUCCGAAGAAAACAAUGUUAAGAUAAGUAAAAAGAAACUCCUCUCAAGCUCACAAAGACACCUUAAUUCUUCAACCGAAUAGAGCAAAACACAAGAAAGCUCCCUAUAUUAUCCUACCAACCCAGGUGUGAGAAACAAGAAUCGGAGAACCAGGAGGAAAGGAACUCGGCAAAACAGAAAAAGGACUGUUUACCAAAAACAUAGCUCUUUGAAUAUUUAAAGGGUCCAGCCUGCCCAGUGGCCCAAAGCUAAACGGCCGCGGUAUCUUGACCGUGCAAAGGUAGCAUAAUCACUUGUCUUUUAAAUGGAGACUCGUAUGAACGGCGAAACCUCUUUCAACUGUCUCUCCUCCUACCCUUCAAAAUUUCUUUCUGUGUGAAGAAGCACAGAUAUAACAGAAAGACGAGAAGACCCUGUCGAGCUUUAACCACUAAGUGAACACUCCCUACUUACUAGCUAUCACCUAAAGGUUUUGGUUGGGGCAACCAUGGAGAAAAAAAAUCCUCCAGAACAAAUAGAAGAAAACCUUUCACUAAUUAUCACCACUUUAAGAACCAGGAACUGGUAUUCGGAAAAAGUUACCGCAGGGAUAACAGCGUUAUCUCCUCUGAGAGUCCUUAUUGACGAGGAGGCUUGCGACCUCGAUGUUGGAUUGGGGCCCCCUUAGGGUGCAGAAGCUCUAAACGGUUAGACUGUUCGUCUAUUAAAGCCCU
Molecule: ribosomal RNA, 1125 nt
Filed under: Holothuria signata
Lineage: Eukaryota; Metazoa; Echinodermata; Holothuroidea; Aspidochirotida; Holothuriidae
Description: partial 16S ribosomal RNA
Rfam family: Bacterial large subunit ribosomal RNA
Source: RNAcentral